RNAcentral lists this long non-coding RNA (333 nucleotides) under Sorghum bicolor (sorghum). Its description in RNAcentral is "long non-coding RNA (SBIC_LNC007797)". Lineage: Eukaryota; Viridiplantae; Streptophyta; Magnoliopsida; Poales; Poaceae. The record is from RNAcentral.
CAAAGCAAUGGGUGCAAGCAUUAUAUCCCUUGUUUGUCUGUCCUGAAAGAUUGCUUAGAGCUGGCCAAUCAUUGAUUGUCACGAACAACAAUGCUCGUAGGUCGAAUGCUUUCUGUUUGUACUCAUCCCACAUACGCACACCUGGUUUGCUCCAUAGAAGCUGGAGUUCCUCAACCAAUGGCCUCAGGUAAACAUCGAUGUCGUUGCCAAGUUGCUUCGGACCUUGGAUGAGCACCGGCAUCAUAAUGAACUUCUGCUUCAUGCAUAACCACGGAGGAAGGUUGUAGAUACAUAGAGUAACGGGCCAAGUGCUAUGACUAGAGCUCUGGUCCC